GACUGUGAGAUCAUGACCUGAGCCAAAGUCGGACGCUCAACCGACUGAGCCACCCAGGCGCCCCUUGAUUUUCUUAAUCUUUAUAGUCAUUUCUAUGAAGUGGAUAACUUUUGCUAAAUAAAAUCAGAGGAGAAGUGGACUCAAAUAGCCACAACAAAUAUGUGUAUGUACAAUGAAAUAUAAAAAGAAUCAAAAGACUUUUAGCUAUAGCCGUUGAGCUCAACUUCAGCAUCUAAUCUUUUCUAAGGAAGUUGUGGUUCUCUCUGCUCCAGAUCACCCUCUAGUGAUAACACACAGAGACCGAAAUUAAGGCAGUAAAAAGGAAGUGAGAAAAAAAAGGAGGAAGGAAGAGUAGAAUCUACAAUCAACGAACUAGACCACAAAGGGGAAGGACAUUCUUCUUUAAAAGUAAUCUUGAAGGAGGAGACGGACAGGAGCUGAAGACUUUGCACACCUUCAUUUAAAUAUUGAGCACCGGGAAGGAGUUGUUUCCCAGGUGUGGGGAAUCGGCAGAAUGUCUCAUCUGUCAUGCUAAAAACAAUUACUGUCUCCCCUCCCAGCAAGAAUCCGUUCUUCCUAGAUACACCGGGUUUCGGAUGUCAGGCUGAACGCUCCAUUAUCUCUACAGAUCACGCUGACUCCUCACAAGGUGAGCGGUUCAACUUCCCCUCCAAAUGGCCUCGGGCGGCUCUGGAAUUGUGAACCUGUCUGGGGGAGACCCAUCUCUCUGUCACACGGAGCAGCCCAAGACUUUGGGGCCUCGCGGGGUGCUUCGAGCCUCUGCUGCCAGCGUGCUCUUGCUUCGUGUGCUCUUGGUUAACCGGUUAACGGGACAUUUUAUCCCAAAGCAUUCGUUUUUCGGGGCCAGACGUUUCAGCCAGGUUCCCUCCCUCUCCCACUUGUCUCGUGGGUUCUGUUUCCAUGCGGAGGGAGGAGGGAAGUGGCCCGGGAGCCCAGCAACCACCCCACAGACCUCUUUCCGAGACUGCUGCGGUUGUCUCUGCAACUGACGGGACAUUCUAGCGGUUGGAAUUGCCUUGCAGAAGCCCUGCCACUAACAGAAGUGCCGGUCUCCUUUCUGCAGUUCAGAGUUCAGGACACACAAAAGGGGAAAGAAAACAAUAACAAUGGAAACCAUCUGAGCCCCAACAGCUGCCCUGCCUCCCCUUCCACCACGAGGACAACAACAACAAAAACAAUAAGCACAACCACCCAUCUCUCCCCCACCCUGUGCCUAAUGUGGUUAACGCGCCCGGAAACUCUGCGUCGCUGAGCUGCCCGAUACGAUAGGAAAUAUGUGCAGAGGAAAUGCCUUCCCUGACCGCUGAAUGAAGUCUGAGACUUCAAGGGGCUGAUUGACAUUUGAGGAAAACACUUAAGUUUUUGCAUACGUGCGAUCUUCCUAGAUGAAGAAAAUUCCACAGCUGUCACCUUUGCUUCAUCAGUCCGGCUGUCUAGGAUGAAUUUAAUGCCAACCCGGGGACUGUGCGGGCCGGUCCACUCGUGUUGUGAGAAAACAGGUUACAUCUUCAAACGCUUUCCUGCUCCCCGAUACCACAUGGCGCAGUCCCCUCCUCGCAAAGCACACACUGUGGCCAAUUUUUCUUUCCGUGCUUACAGAGAUAAAUGCGGGGUGAGGCGGUGGGACCUACGGAUUGAUCAUGCGCUGUCCUGUGUGACAGGAAAAUGGGUGUUUGAUCUUGUUUUGUGCUAUAAGAAACUCUUCAGAAAUCUCCUGGAAAAAAAAAAAAAUCUCAUAAACCUAGGUUAGUGGCCACAUAUGGGAUCCAUUAACUCCUCAUUUCUGCUUGUUCUGAGCAAAUUUUUGUCUGGUGACAACACAUGAACUUUGGGGUGUUUUUGUUUUGCUUCACACCACAGAGAACUCUGUUGACUUGCUUCAGUUUUGAGAAAUCUGCAGCACAAAGCCGGCUGUGGUCGGGUGGAACAACUGACGGCAAGUAGAACUUGGAACGUUUGGUUCGUGGGGGCGCAGGGGGACGUGUUCUUUAGAUUUCAGGGGAUUCCAGAGUGGCCGAUGUCCUGGGAAGAAUCUUCCUUUCGUGGUGAAACUGAGUAAGAGAAGCCUCGGUUCUCUCCCUAGCUCUAUUCAUGCUUCACGGUGUAACUUCGGGAGAUUGGUUUGGUCUGUCUUAGUCUCUAAAUGCGUGUUUUCUAAAUCUUGGACAAGGCAGCAACGUUCUUCUUGCAAGACCUGCCCUUAGCCCCCGAUUAAAAGGCGUUAAAUAAUUACAUCACACCAAUAUUUGGAACUAAAGUCACUCCUCCGACAGAAAACAGAUUGGAGGAUGUUAACUCUAAGAAGGAACACGGGAUAAAAAAAUUGAGAAGAAAAUUAGCUUUUACGUUUCUGUUUUAAGUAAUUAAUAAACCAAACACAACAAUCGGUGCUUUUCACCCACACCCAGCAUCAGGGGGCUUCAGACAUUGCCUUUGAAGUGGGCCCCCAGUAGGGAGGACCCCACUGUUCAGGCUACUUUAUAGUGGUAAUAUACGGUCUGGUAAAAACAGAUGCCAAGAAAUUGUGCAGAUUGUAUCUCCGAGCAUCUGAAACCCUAAAACUUCAGGGGGCCAAGGAAGGUCCCAGGCUUUUGAUUUUUUUUUUCUUAAAAAAAAAAAAAAGGCCCAAAGUAUUAAAUUGAAACAGGCACUUCAUUUCUUUCUUUCAUUUCUCCCUUCACCUCAGGAGACCUACGUUAAAUUCCUCUUAGAUCACAGCUAGACGUGGGUUUGAUGGUCUCAAGCCACCUUUUCACUGUACAUUCAUCCCAUAAAUAGAAGAUGAAUAAAGAUGUCAAACUCCAUCCAUAUAAUAUUCUGACACACGUGGCUGUCUCUGUGAAAGAGGAGCUGGGAUGAAGGAGGACUCAGUGGAGUCCACAGAGCCAAGGACUGCAACAUGCCUCGGUGACUUGAAGCGCACAAAUAAGACCGUGUGGAUUGCCAGCCAAUAGCUAUGGAGCUUCAGCUGUCAACCUUAUCCUGAAUGGACAUUUGUGGAAGGACAACGGUUGGGCUGGUAUAGUGUGAGUUCAACGUGGGCUACUUUCCUUAAGCCACCGUCCUUAAAUUUUGUGUUUUAAAUAGUGGUUUUCCAGGCAAGCAAAGUCAGGUCUAUACUUAAAGCAAGGGGUCCCGAGACCAGAUUCAGUUCUUCACGUUCCGAGUAAAAAUACAUGGACCCCGAUUCGGGGAUUAUACUACUAAGAUUUAUUCAUCUUUCUGUGCCCUAGAUAGGGAAAGAACCAAAUCUAACAAGCAAGGAAUACACUGCCAAAUAUUGAUAAUUCCUUCUCUGGAAUACUCACAGCUAUUUUUAGUGUGUUAAUGUAAAAAGCCAGUGAGAUGAAAAGUGAAGUGAUCCGUUUCCAGAAGAAAAACCAGCCGAAUCUUCAUUAAUAAUUCCUUGUAGAAUGCUCCAUGGGCCUUUAUCUGACAGCCUGACAAGCUGAACUAAACAACAGAGACUGUAGGAAUGUAAAAGACAUAAUCUUAACACCAAACCUUCUGAAGAUUUGGCUGUCACUUUACAUUAAAGGCAAGGGGUAAAAACCUCCAUUGAAACAGAAGGAGCUUGCAACCUGAUUAUAGUGCCAGAAUUUAGUGAGAGAAGAAAAGGCAGGCAUCUGAGUUAGCAAAUGGUGGUAUUGAAGAGUAUUGAACUAAGCUUUCUUUCCACGUCUGGCUUGGGAUUUUUGAGAGCCGAAGACGAUGAUGCGGGUAUGAUAAGACGCAACGUAGCUAUUCCUGGGCCUAGUGACAAAUCUUCGUUAUCAAUACAGACUAUGUAACCAGUGUUGGAUGCGGUAUAAAAGCUAACUCAAACACC
This is a long non-coding RNA of Felis catus (domestic cat), 3850 nucleotides long. RefSeq lists it as uncharacterized. Lineage: Eukaryota; Metazoa; Chordata; Mammalia; Carnivora; Felidae. The transcript has 2 exons. The record is from RefSeq and is a predicted model, not a curated record.